RNAcentral lists this ribosomal RNA (400 nucleotides) under phytoplankton environmental sample. RNAcentral's name for it is "partial small subunit ribosomal RNA". It matches the Rfam family "Eukaryotic small subunit ribosomal RNA", at positions 587 to 993 of the family's 1831-position model. The record is from RNAcentral.
AGCUCCAAUAGCGUAUAUUAAAGUUGUUGCAGUUAAAAAGCUCGUAGUUGGAUUUCGGGAUGGCCCGGCCGGUCUGCCGCAAGGUAUGUUACUGGCCGAGCUGUUCUUCUUCGCAAAGACUGUGUGUGCUCUUAACUGAGUGUGCUCAGGAUCUGUGACGUUUACUUUGAAAAAAUUAGAGUGUUCAAAGCAAGCCAGCGCUUGGAUACAUAAGCAUGGAAUAAUGGAAUAGGACUUUGGUUCUAUUUUGUUGGUUUCUGGAACCGAAGUAAUGAUUAAGAGAGACAGUUGGGGGCAUUCGUAUUUCGUUGUCAGAGGUGAAAUUCUUGGAUUUACGAAAGACGAACUACUGCGAAAGCAUUUGCCAAGAAUGUUUUCAUUAAUCAAGAACGAAAGUACG